RNAcentral lists this ribosomal RNA (1672 nucleotides) under Salmonella enterica subsp. enterica serovar Paratyphi A. Its description in RNAcentral is "bacterial SSU rRNA". It matches the Rfam family "Bacterial small subunit ribosomal RNA". The record is from RNAcentral. Lineage: Bacteria; Pseudomonadati; Pseudomonadota; Gammaproteobacteria; Enterobacterales; Enterobacteriaceae.
GACGAAAAAUGAAUACCAAGUCUCAAGAGUGAACACGUAAUUCAUUACGAAGUUUAAUUCAUUGAGCAUCAAACUUUUAAAUUGAAGAGUUUGAUCAUGGCUCAGAUUGAACGCUGGCGGCAGGCCUAACACAUGCAAGUCGAACGGUAACAGGAAGCAGCUUGCUGCUUUGCUGACGAGUGGCGGACGGGUGAGUAAUGUCUGGGAAACUGCCUGAUGGAGGGGGAUAACUACUGGAAACGGUGGCUAAUACCGCAUAACGUCGCAAGACCAAAGAGGGGGACCUUCGGGCCUCUUGCCAUCAGAUGUGCCCAGAUGGGAUUAGCUUGUUGGUGAGGUAACGGCUCACCAAGGCGACGAUCCCUAGCUGGUCUGAGAGGAUGACCAGCCACACUGGAACUGAGACACGGUCCAGACUCCUACGGGAGGCAGCAGUGGGGAAUAUUGCACAAUGGGCGCAAGCCUGAUGCAGCCAUGCCGCGUGUAUGAAGAAGGCCUUCGGGUUGUAAAGUACUUUCAGCGGGGAGGAAGGUGUUGUGGUUAAUAACCGCAGCAAUUGACGUUACCCGCAGAAGAAGCACCGGCUAACUCCGUGCCAGCAGCCGCGGUAAUACGGAGGGUGCAAGCGUUAAUCGGAAUUACUGGGCGUAAAGCGCACGCAGGCGGUCUGUCAAGUCGGAUGUGAAAUCCCCGGGCUCAACCUGGGAACUGCAUUCGAAACUGGCAGGCUUGAGNNNNNNNNNNNNNNNNNNNNGAAUUCCAGGUGUAGCGGUGAAAUGCGUAGAGAUCUGGAGGAAUACCGGUGGCGAAGGCGGCCCCCUGGACAAAGACUGACGCUCAGGUGCGAAAGCGUGGGGAGCAAACAGGAUUAGAUACCCUGGUAGUCCACGCCGUAAACGAUGUCUACUUGGAGGUUGUGCCCUUGAGGCGUGGCUUCCGGAGCUAACGCGUUAAGUAGACCGCCUGGGGAGUACGGCCGCAAGGUUAAAACUCAAAUGAAUUGACGGGGGCCCGCACAAGCGGUGGAGCAUGUGGUUUAAUUCGAUGCAACGCGAAGAACCUUACCUGGUCUUGACAUCCACGGAAGUUUUCAGAGAUGAGAAUGUGCCUUCGGGAACCGUGAGACAGGUGCUGCAUGGCUGUCGUCAGCUCGUGUUGUGAAAUGUUGGGUUAAGUCCCGCAACGAGCGCAACCCUUAUCCUUUGUUGCCAGCGGUCCGGCCGGGAACUCAAAGGAGACUGCCAGUGAUAAACUGGAGGAAGGUGGGGAUGACGUCAAGUCAUCAUGGCCCUUACGACCAGGGCUACACACGUGCUACAAUGGCGCAUACAAAGAGAAGCGACCUCGCGAGAGCAAGCGGACCUCAUAAAGUGCGUCGUAGUCCGGAUUGGAGUCUGCAACUCGACUCCAUGAAGUCGGAAUCGCUAGUAAUCGUGGAUCAGAAUGCCACGGUGAAUACGUUCCCGGGCCUUGUACACACCGCCCGUCACACCAUGGGAGUGGGUUGCAAAAGAAGUAGGUAGCUUAACCUUCGGGAGGGCGCUUACCACUUUGUGAUUCAUGACUGGGGUGAAGUCGUAACAAGGUAACCGUAGGGGAACCUGCGGUUGGAUCACCUCCUUACCUUAAAGAAGCGUACUUUGCAGUGCUCACACAGAUUGUCUGAUGAAAA